RNAcentral lists this ribosomal RNA (400 nucleotides) under Bruchidius lineatopygus. Its description in RNAcentral is "partial 12S small subunit ribosomal RNA". Lineage: Eukaryota; Metazoa; Arthropoda; Insecta; Coleoptera; Chrysomelidae. The record is from RNAcentral.
UAAACUAGGAUUAGAUACCCUAUUAUUAUAAAUGUUAAUUAUAUAGUACUAAAUUAGUAAUAGUUAUGUUCUUUAAAAUUAAAAAAUUUGGCGGUAUUUUAGUCUUUUCAGAGGAACCUGUCCUGUGAUUGAUAGUCCACGAUAAGAGGUACUUUAUUUUUUAAUUUACAUAUCGUCGUAGAUUUGAAUAUUUUAAGAGAAAUUUAAUAUUCAAAAUUUUAAAUUAAAAAUAAAAUCAGAUCAAGGUGUAGUGAAUAAUAAAGUAGAGAUGGGUUACAUUAAAUUUAUUUAAGGAUAAAUUUUUUUAAAAAAUUUUGAAUUUGGAUUUGAAAGUAAUUUUUUGUGUUUUCUAAGAAUGAUUUUAGCUCUAAAAUAUGUACACAUCGCCCGUCGCUCUUAA